Molecule: ribosomal RNA, 492 nt
Filed under: uncultured bacterium
Lineage: Bacteria
Description: partial 16S ribosomal RNA
Rfam family: Bacterial small subunit ribosomal RNA
Source: RNAcentral
AGUGAACGCUGGCGGUAGGCCUAACACAUGCAAGUCGAACGGCAGCACAGUAAGAGCUUGCUCUUACGGGUGGCGAGUGGCGGACGGGUGAGGAAUACAUCGGAAUCUACUUUUUCGUGGGGGUUAACGUAGGGAAACUUACGCUAAUACCGCAUACGACCUACGGGUGAAAGCAGGGGAUCUUCGGACCUUGCGCGAUUGAAUGAGCCGAUGUCGGAUUAGCUAGUUGGCGGGGUAAAGGCCCACCAAGGCGACGAUCCGUAGCUGGUCUGAGAGGAUGAUCAGCCACACUGGAACUGAGACACGGUCCAGACUCCUACGGGAGGCAGCAGUGGGGAAUAUUGGACAAUGGGCGCAAGCCUGAUCCAGCCAUACCGCGUGGGUGAAGAAGGUCUUCGGGUUGUAAAGCCCUUUUGUUGGGAAAGAAAAGCAGCAGGUUAAUACCCCGCUGUUCUGACGGUACCCAAAGAAUAAGCACCGGCUAACUUCGUG